CAGCCUGUUACUAGUGCCUGUGAGUUACCACGGCCUGAUAUACUAACUCUGGAGCCAGCUGAGACCUCCUGCCGGAGUGAGGAUGGAUACACCUGUCUUUAUUGGCUAAUUAGUACUAGUCCGCUCACUCCACAGGUGAAACGUGGGUCCUUUUGAUUGCCCCUAAUUAGGAAUGAGGUUACACCAGCAGCCCGGCGCUGUGCCACGCUCCUGCAGUUCGGGGAGAGAGUAAGUCGAGCUGUAGAGAGUGCAGACAGGGCAGGGGGAGAUAUUUUACUCUUGUGCUUCAACACCAGCCGCCAGCCCGCAGUCCUAUACCCUGUUGUUAGCGCCUUGAGGAAAUAAAACAAAUUUGCCAGUGUUUUGUUUGGGAUGGCACGUGGCUGGUGAAUGACAUGUCACAGUGAAGUUUGCAUUUUGUCUCCCUCGUGCUCCUGGCUAAGUCUGAGGUCUCCGCGGUAACACGCUCAGGACCUCCCUGUCGAAGGGCGCCGGGGGACCCCGGGGAAGGGACAAACGGUUUGGGAGGAAGAGGAACGGAGCUUGUCAGGGACGCGGCUGUUCAGGCUCCACCAGGGGAUCUCAGAAGACUCGAAGGAGAUUAAAAAGGACUGGAAGACAUUUGAACUCAGACCUCUGGGACGGACUGUUUCUCUGGGGAUGAGCAGGGGGGCGACAGAGCCCGUCAGAGCGGAGUCUCCUGAGCAGGACGACCUGGUCAGCAGACCAGAGCCCCUGCAGCAGAGGAAGAAGGCUGGGGGGUUUCAGGGACACAGAGGGGUGGCAAGAUCCCAGCCUUGUGCCGAAAACUGGUGAUCAAACAGUGGAAUACCAACCCGAGGACACCUGUGCAAACUACAGGGAAGAGCUCUUAACAGAGAGAACGGAGGCCGUUCUUUACACUCGGAGGUGUGGGAGUGUGGAACAAGCUUGCAAGCCAGAAGAAGUGUGUUGCCCCACGGGGCUAAGAGCAAAGGCAAUGUGUCUGUCCCACAUUGCGCCCUGCACAGCAGCUGGAGCUCUCAGCACGCGGAAGGAGCAAGCUGGCUGGGGAGCUGGAGAAUCUUGGAUUUCUGUGGUAUUUCUGUCUGGAACAGCUGCUGCCAGGCUGUGGGCAGCACUCAGGGCUCCAGUCUUGUGACUGAGAGUUGCAAGUUUAAAUCUGAGAUGGUGGCACAGCUCCAGCACUCCUUACCAAGGCUCCUGUGCGUACCCUCACGUGUGUGACAGUGUGUCAGGGAGAGUGUGUGAGAGUGUGUCAGGGAGAGUGAGAGUGUGAGUGUGUCAGGGAGAGUGUGUGACAGUGUGUCGGUGAGAGUGUGUGACAGUGUGUGACAGUGUGUCUGUGAG
Molecule: long non-coding RNA, 1350 nt
Filed under: Lepisosteus oculatus (spotted gar)
Lineage: Eukaryota; Metazoa; Chordata; Actinopteri; Semionotiformes; Lepisosteidae
Description: lncRNA (ENSLOCG00000023035.1)
Source: RNAcentral